Molecule: ribosomal RNA, 544 nt
Filed under: Penicillium citrinum
Lineage: Eukaryota; Fungi; Ascomycota; Eurotiomycetes; Eurotiales; Aspergillaceae
Description: eukaryotic LSU rRNA
Rfam family: Eukaryotic large subunit ribosomal RNA
Source: RNAcentral
AAAGAAACCAACCGGGAUUGCCCUAGUAACGGCGAGUGAAGCGGCAAGAGCUCAAAUUUGAAAGCUGGCCCCCUCGGGGUCCGCAUUGUAAUUUGCAGAGGAUGCUUCGGGAACGGCCCCCAUCUAAGUGCCCUGGAACGGGCCGUCAUAGAGGGUGAGAAUCCCGUCUGGGAUGGGGUGGCCGCGCCCGUGUGAAGCUCCUUCGACGAGUCGAGUUGUUUGGGAAUGCAGCUCUAAUUGGGUGGUAAAUUUCAUCUAAAGCUAAAUAUUGGCCGGAGACCGAUAGCGCACAAGUAGAGUGAUCGAAAGAUGAAAAGCACUUUGAAAAGAGAGUUAAACAGCACGUGAAAUUGUUGAAAGGGAAGCGCUUGCGACCAGACUCGCCCGCGGGGUUCAGCCGGCACUCGUGCCGGUGUACUUCCCCGCGGGCGGGCCAGCGUCGGUUUGGGCGGCCGGUCAAAGGCCUCUGGAAGGUAACGCCUCUCGGGGCGUCUUAUAGCCAGGGGUGCCAUGCGGCCUGCCCGGACCGAGGAACGCGCUUCGG